UACGUAGGGGGCAAGCGUUGUCCGGAAUCAUUGGGCGUAAAGCGCGUGUAGGCGGCCAGAAAAGUCCGCUGUGAAAACUCGAGGCUCAACUUCGAGCUGUCGGUGGAAACUUUCUGGCUAGAGUCCGGAAGAGGAGAAUGGAAUUCCUGGUGUAGCGGUGAAAUGCGCAGAUAUCAGGAAGAACACCCGUGGCGAAGGCGGUUCUCUGGGACGGUACUGACGCUGGAGACGCGAAAGCGUGGGGAGCGAACAGG
RNAcentral lists this ribosomal RNA (254 nucleotides) under uncultured bacterium. RNAcentral describes it as "partial 16S ribosomal RNA". It matches the Rfam family "Bacterial small subunit ribosomal RNA", at positions 524 to 776 of the family's 1533-position model. The record is from RNAcentral.